UCGUCUUAUGGUCAGCGACGGGAUGAUGAAGUCUCUCAGCUGCGUAGGGAGUCCGAUGAGUUGCGUAGAGAGUCUGCUGAGCUACGUCACGAGUUGAGCUCGACAUGAUCUCGUAUGGGUGGACUCGAGGGCUUCUUGGACGUUGUAGCGGCCACAAAUCCGGAAUGGGAGACCUUGUUGAGGACCAUGCGACAACGAAAUCCUAUUCCAGGCGAGUCAACAUCCGACACACAUGCCAAGGCGGAUGUAACGGCGAGGAGUGAUGAAUUCUACCGGCGAUUAACGACCCUUAGUUCUUUUUAAUUUCGGUUCUUGUAUUAUGAAUUCAAAACUUAUUUAUAUAUAAAAUAUUUUGGUUUUGAUUUUUUUAGAAUUUUAAUUUUAUUAAUAAUUUAAAUUAUUUAACUUAUUUUUUUAAUUAUAUUUUUUUAUAUUUCUGUAAAAUAACGAAACGAAGUAAAUUCGUAGCUAAUUUUGUGACUUCUUUACGUCGAAGCUUAACGAGGUUUUUACGAGGAAAGAUUUACAAGGAAAUGACGUGGAAAGUUCACGUGGUCUUUACGAGGAAAGCAAUCAAGGUAUUUACGUUUACUUUACGAGUAUUUACUUUCAAGUUAUUUACGUGGGUUUUACGAGGAACGGCUUUGGAGGUAUUUACGAGGAAAUUUAGCGACGUCCUUACGUGGAAGCUUUACGUGGUCUUUACGACCAAAUAUUCUUCUUCGCUUUUACGGCGAAAUUAUUUCCUCGCUAUGUUACGACGAACUAGCGAGGAUAUAUGCGUUACGACAAACGUAUAACGACGAAACGGGUUUCCUCGCUAAUUACUCGUAACACUGAUUUUACGACGAAAUCACGAGGAAAACUGCCCUCGUAAAACUUGUGUUUUCUUGUAGUGUUCAAUUUAUAAAUAGUAAAUAUUCAGCUAUUCGUUCGGUUCUCAAAUUCAAUUUUAUUUGAUUUCAGAUUUUCAGUUUUAGGAAUAUAGAAUCCAUUCAGAGAAUUUCUUGUAUUCAAAUAUAAUUUUAUUUUCAGUUUAGUACAGUUCCUCAGUUCCAAGGAAAUGUGUACAUACCUACAUAAGAUAUUGAAGAUAGGGCUGACAGCAGGAAAUUGAACUCAUAACAGUUUUGGUUAUCGGUGACCUCAUAACAGUUUUGUUUUUCGGUUUAGUUUAAAGAUUAGGCUACGAUUGGUAAACAUCGCUUAAUUGCAGAAUCGUAAAAAAUAGUUAAGCUGCGGAAAAAUUAAAAAUACGGAAUGGCGGAACACAUAUUAUAUAAAUAAAAAUAUUUAUAUGAUAUUAACUUUAUUAUAAGAAAAACAAACACUAAUUAUUAAACUAAUUAUUAAAAAAUCUGAAAAUAACUAAAAUUUAUUAAAAAAUACUUUACUUCUUAUUAUAAAUAUUUUGCUUAUUUUUAUAUACAUUUUUAAUAAUAAACUGACAUCUUAUAAUAUUAUUAAAAAAAUAUAAUAUAAUUUUCUUUACAACAUAACUAUUUAUCAUUAAAAUGAUAUUAUCAUGUGAAAGUGUUGAUUUUGUAAGUAAUCAACUAAAACUCACGUUUCUACUUAAUAAAAUUUUUCUUUGUAUUUUUAUCAGCAAAAAAUGCAAGUUUGUGUUUUUGCUUUUUUUUCAUACCGCAAUUUUUGUUGAUCGGCAAAAAAAACUUGCAGAAUUCCGUAAUGUUACCAAUCGGGCCUAAGCUUCUAUUCAAUUUGGAAAUUGAACUCAUACGGUUAGUUCUUUAGUUUAUGGAUUAAGCUUCUAUUCAAUUUGGAAAUUGAACUCAUACUGCUAGAGUUUUUGUCCGUAUUUGGGUCUUGAUCGGUUUAGUUAACCGGAACUAAAUUCGCCGGUGAAAGUUAAUUUCGUAUAAGAUGACCAUCCUCGCUCGGAGGUACAAGGCAAUGGGUCUAAGCAUGCAAGAUGUGCUUUUCCUCGGUAAUGACGUCAGUGUAUAUGCUCAAAAUUUUCACAAGGAAACUACCGGUUGUAGAAUAUUUAGAUGCAGUCAUUAGGAAAGGUGCUGAAGUGAAGUUGGCAGCAAAUUGGAUAAUGAGUGAUUUUGCCGCUUAGUUGAAAAACGAGGAACUCUCUAUCAAUAAUGUUAAACUUAGUCCUCAAGAGUUGGCUGAGCUGAUAGCUGCCAUCAAAGAUGGAACCAUUAGCGGAAAGAUUGGAAAACAGGUCAGUUCAACUUCAUUUUAAUCUAAAAAUGUAUCAUCUUUUUUUGUUUGUUUAGAUCAAUGAUAUUUAUUCAAAUUUUGCAUAUACUCUUUGAGCUAUUGGCUAAAGGUGGAACCGUCCAAGGAAUGAUCAAGGAAAAAGACUAUUCCACAAAAUGAGGAGUUCGAUCCAGAGAAAUGCAUAACUGAUUUUUUGCUUAUGUGUGACAUAUGCUGCAGCCUGCAGAUAACCGAUCCUGUGGAGAUGGAGAAAAUGGUUAUGAAGGUGUUCUCCAAAUCUCCAAAGCAGCUUGAGCAGUACCGAAGUGGGAGAACCAAGCUUCAAGGCUUUUUUUGCUGGCCAGGUAAUGAAACCGUCAAAAGGCAAAAGCAAACCCUGCUUUACUUAACAAGAUUCUUCUGGAGAAGCUCAACGCGAAGGAGUAAUUGAAGUACAAGCUUCAGCUUUUGGCAGUUGAGAUUAGUGAAAAGUGUUUUCCAAUUACUGUUUUUCUGUAGAGAUUUGUUAAAUUCUACUAAAAAGAAUUGAUUUCGAUAGAUUGUGGUAGUGGCAAUACAACGGAUAUUGAAUUGGUACAUAAAGAUUUUGACUAACAAUGACGAG
RNA transcript from Brassica napus (rape), 2797 nucleotides. It is a transcript of the gene named glutamyl-tRNA(Gln) amidotransferase subunit B, chloroplastic/mitochondrial, with no coding region annotated. The transcript has 3 exons. The record is from RefSeq and is a predicted model, not a curated record. NCBI's taxonomy places the organism in Eukaryota, Viridiplantae, Streptophyta, Magnoliopsida, Brassicales, Brassicaceae.